Molecule: long non-coding RNA, 209 nt
Filed under: Setaria italica (foxtail millet)
Lineage: Eukaryota; Viridiplantae; Streptophyta; Magnoliopsida; Poales; Poaceae
Description: long non-coding RNA (SITA_LNC007076)
Source: RNAcentral
GCGGUGCGGUGCGACAUCCGGCAUGGCGCAGGAGGGAGGGUGCGGCGGGGUGCUGCCGACGAGGCAAGGCAUGGUGCUUCCGUCGGUAGCAGAGUGUGAGGUCGUCGAGGUUGUACGAUGAACCGUCUCAUUGGACCCGAAGUUGUUGGCCACCGCUCCUCCAACGAGCGUGAGGUCGUCGGCAGCACGUCGGAGCACGAGUCGCUGCU